This 1579-nucleotide ribosomal RNA is filed under the name Burkholderia mallei A193. Its description in RNAcentral is "bacterial LSU rRNA". It matches the Rfam family "Bacterial large subunit ribosomal RNA", at positions 1349 to 2925 of the family's 2925-position model. The record is from RNAcentral. Lineage: Bacteria; Pseudomonadati; Pseudomonadota; Betaproteobacteria; Burkholderiales; Burkholderiaceae. RNAcentral also lists the same sequence under 1 other name.
GGUUUCCUACGCAACGUUCAUCGGCGUAGGGUGAGUCGGCCCCUAAGGCGAGGCAGAAAUGCGUAGCUGAUGGGAAGCAGGUCAAUAUUCCUGCACCGUCGUUAGAUGCGAUGGGGGGACGGAUCGCGGAAGGUUGUCCGGGUGUUGGAAGUCCCGGUCGCUGCAUUGGAGAAGGCGCUUAGGCAAAUCCGGGCGCAGGAUUCAAGGGUGUGGCGCGAGCUCCUUCGGGAGCGAAGCAAUUGGAAGUGGUUCCAAGAAAAGCCUCUAAGCUUCAGUCUAACGAUGACCGUACCGCAAACCGACACAGGUGGGCGAGAUGAGUAUUCUAAGGCGCUUGAGAGAACUCGGGAGAAGGAACUCGGCAAAUUGGUACCGUAACUUCGGGAUAAGGUACGCCCUGGUAGCUUGACUGGCCUGCGCCAGAAGGGUGAAGGGGUUGCAAUAAACUGGUGGCUGCGACUGUUUAAUAAAAACACAGCACUCUGCAAACACGAAAGUGGACGUAUAGGGUGUGACGCCUGCCCGGUGCCGGAAGAUUAAAUGAUGGGGUGCAAGCUCUUGAUUGAAGUCCCGGUAAACGGCGGCCGUAACUAUAACGGUCCUAAGGUAGCGAAAUUCCUUGUCGGGUAAGUUCCGACCUGCACGAAUGGCGUAACGAUGGCCACACUGUCUCCUCCCGAGACUCAGCGAAGUUGAAGUGUUUGUGAUGAUGCAAUCUACCCGCGGCUAGACGGAAAGACCCCAUGAACCUUUACUGUAGCUUUGCAUUGGACUUUGAACCGAUCUGUGUAGGAUAGGUGGGAGGCUAUGAAACCGGAAUGCUAGUUUCGGUGGAGCCGUCCUUGAAAUACCACCCUGGUUUGUUUGAGGUUCUAACCUUGGCCCGUGAUCCGGGUCGGGGACAGUGCAUGGUAGGCAGUUUGACUGGGGCGGUCUCCUCCCAAAGCGUAACGGAGGAGUACGAAGGUACGCUAGGUACGGUCGGAAAUCGUGCUGAUAGUGCAAUGGCAUAAGCGUGCUUAACUGCGAGACCGACAAGUCGAGCAGGUGCGAAAGCAGGUCAUAGUGAUCCGGUGGUUCUGUAUGGAAGGGCCAUCGCUCAACGGAUAAAAGGUACUCUGGGGAUAACAGGCUGAUACCGCCCAAGAGUUCAUAUCGACGGCGGUGUUUGGCACCUCGAUGUCGGCUCAUCUCAUCCUGGGGCUGUAGCCGGUCCCAAGGGUAUGGCUGUUCGCCAUUUAAAGAGGUACGUGAGCUGGGUUUAAAACGUCGUGAGACAGUUUGGUCCCUAUCUGCCGUGGGCGUUGGAAGUUUGAAGGGGGCUGCUCCUAGUACGAGAGGACCGGAGUGGACGAACCUCUGGUGUACCGGUUGUGACGCCAGUCGCAUCGCCGGGUAGCUAUGUUCGGAAGAGAUAACCGCUGAAAGCAUCUAAGCGGGAAACUCGCCUUAAGAUGAGACUUCCCCGGGGACUUGAUCCCCUUGAAGGGUCGUUCGAGACCAGGACGUUGAUAGGUCGGGUGUGUAAGCGCAGUAAUGCGUUCAGCUAACCGAUACUAAUUGCCCGUACGGCUUGAUC